UGAGAUGUUGGGUUAAGUCCCGCAACGAGCGCAACCCUCAUCUUCAGUUGCCAUCAGGUUUGGCUGGGCACUCUGGAGAAACUGCCCGUGACAAGCGGGAGGAAGGCGGGGAUGACGUCAAGUCCUCAUGGCCCUUACGGGCUGGGCUACACACGUGCUACAAUGGCGGUGACAAUGGGCAGCGAAGGGGCGACCUGGAGCUAAUCCACAAAAACCGUCUCAGUUCGGAUUGUACUCUGCAACUCGAGUGCAUGAAGGUGGAAUCGCUAGUAAUCGUGGAUCAGCAUGCCACGGUGAAUACGUUCCCGGGCCUUGUACACACCGCCCGUCACACCAUGGGAGUUGGUUUUACCCGAAGGUGGUGAGCUAACCCGCAAGGGAAGCAGCCAACCACGGUAAGGUCAGCGACUGGGGUAAGUCGUAACAAGGUAACCAAGGGCGAUUCGCGGCCGCUA
This 455-nucleotide ribosomal RNA is filed under the name uncultured bacterium. RNAcentral's name for it is "bacterial SSU rRNA". It matches the Rfam family "Bacterial small subunit ribosomal RNA", at positions 1068 to 1533 of the family's 1533-position model. The record is from RNAcentral.